GCAGUCGAGGGGUAUAGGUUUUCGGACCUAGAGACCGGCGCACGGGUGCGUAACGCGUAUGCAAUCUACCUUUUACAGAGGGAUAGCCCAGAGAAAUUUGGAUUAAUACCUCAUAGUAUUACGACUCGGCAUCGAGAUGUAAUUAAAGUCACAACGGUAAAAGAUGAGCAUGCGUCCCAUUAGCUUGUUGGUAAGGUAACGGCUUACCAAGGCAACGAUGGGUAGGGGUCCUGAGAGGGAGAUCCCCCACACUGGUACUGAGACACGGACCAGACUCCUACGGGAGGCAGCAGUGAGGAAUAUUGGUCAAUGGGCGCAAGCCUGAACCAGCCAUGCCGCGUGCAGGAUGAAGCAUCUAUGGUGUGUAAACUGCUUUUGUACGAGAAGAAACACUCCUACGUGUAGGAGCUUGACGGUAUCGUAAGAAUAAGGACCGGCUAACUCCGUGCCAGCAGCCGCGGUAAUACGGAGGGUCCAAGCGUUAUCCGGAAUCAUUGGGUUUAAAGGGUCCGUAGGCGGUUUUGUAAGUCAGUGGUGAAAGCCCAUCGCUCAACGGUGGAACGGCCAUUGAUACUGCAAGACUUGAAUUAUUGGGAAGUAACUAGAAUAUGUAGUGUAGCGGUGAAAUGCUUAGAGAUUACAUGGAAUACCAAUUGCGAAGGCAGGUUACUACCAAUAUAUUGACGCUGAUGGACGAAAGCGUGGGGAGCGAACAGGAUUAGAUACCCUGGUAGUCCACGCCGUAAACGAUGGAUACUAGCUGUUCGGAGCAAUCUGAGUGGCUAAGCGAAAGUGAUAAGUAUCCCACCUGGGGAGUACGUUCGCAAGAUUGAAACUC
RNAcentral lists this ribosomal RNA (838 nucleotides) under uncultured bacterium. RNAcentral's name for it is "bacterial SSU rRNA". It matches the Rfam family "Bacterial small subunit ribosomal RNA", at positions 57 to 902 of the family's 1533-position model. The record is from RNAcentral.